Molecule: non-coding RNA, 166 nt
Organism: Arachis ipaensis
Lineage: Eukaryota; Viridiplantae; Streptophyta; Magnoliopsida; Fabales; Fabaceae
Source: RefSeq, a predicted model, not a curated record
UAACAGAAUUUGUUCUCCUAGAAAAAUUGAAGAAGAACAAGAAGAAUGAAAUAGUGGAGAAAAGGGUAUUUUUGUCAUUUAAAAAAAUGUAUUUAAAAGGACGAUUUUAAAAUCAAAUACAACAUUAAUAAUGAUUCUAAAUAAAAAUUUACUGACUCUCCCUCUC